Molecule: ribosomal RNA, 257 nt
Filed under: uncultured Gardnerella sp.
Lineage: Bacteria; Bacillati; Actinomycetota; Actinomycetes; Bifidobacteriales; Bifidobacteriaceae
Description: partial 16S ribosomal RNA
Rfam family: Bacterial small subunit ribosomal RNA
Source: RNAcentral
CGAACGGGUGAGUAAUGCGUGACCAACCUGCCCCAUGCUCCAGAAUAGCUCUUGGAAACGGGUGGUAAUGCUGGAUGCUCCAACUUGACGCAUGUCUUGUUGGGAAAGUGUUUAGUGGCAUGGGAUGGGGUCGCGUCCUAUCAGCUUGUAGGCGGGGUAAUGGCCCACCUAGGCUUCGACGGGUAGCCGGCCUGAGAGGGCGGACGGCCACAUUGGGACUGAGAUACGGCCCAGACUCCUACGGGAGGGCAGCAGCC